UGGGGAAUAUUGCGCAAUGGGGGAAACCCUGACGCAGCGACGCCGCGUGUGGGAUGAAGGUCUUCGGAUUGUAAACCACUGUCGCGAGGGACGAAGCUCUGACGGUACCUCGAAAGGAAGCACCGGCUAACUCUGUGCCAGCAGCCGCGGUAAUACAGAGGGUGCGAGCGUUGUUCGGAAUUACUGGGCGUAAAGCGCGGGCAGGCGGUCUGUUAAGUCGUUUGUGAAAAUCCGGGGCUCAACCCCGGAAAUGCAUACGAUACUGGCAGGCUGGAGACUGGUAGAGGCUAGCGGAAUUCCUGGUGUAGCGGUGGAAUGCGUAGAUAUCAGGAAGAACACCUGUGGCGAAGGCGGCUAGCUGGGCCAGUUCUGACGCUCAUCCGCGAAAGCGUGGGGAGCAAACAGGAUUAGAUACCCCAGUAGUCCCUGAG
Molecule: ribosomal RNA, 431 nt
Filed under: uncultured bacterium
Lineage: Bacteria
Description: bacterial SSU rRNA
Rfam family: Bacterial small subunit ribosomal RNA
Source: RNAcentral